This 412-nucleotide ribosomal RNA is filed under the name uncultured bacterium. RNAcentral's name for it is "bacterial SSU rRNA". It matches the Rfam family "Bacterial small subunit ribosomal RNA", at positions 355 to 775 of the family's 1533-position model. The record is from RNAcentral.
UGGGGAAUAUUGCACAAUGGGCGCAAGCCUGAUGCAGCGACGCCGCGUGAGGGAUGACGGCCUUCGGGUUGUAAACCUCUUUCAGUAGGGAACAAGGCCUUCGGGUUGAGGGUACCUGCAGAAGAAGCGCCGGCUAACUACGUGCCAGCAGCCGCGGUAAUACGUAGGGCGCAAGCGUUGUCCGGAAUUAUUGGGCGUAAAGAGCUCGUAGGCGGUUUGUCGCGUCUGCUGUGAAAACGCGAGGCUUAACCUCGCGCCUGCAGUGGGUACGGGCAGACUAGAGUGCGGUAGGGGAGACUGGAAUUCCUGGUGUAGCGGUGGAAUGCGCAGAUAUCAGGAGGAACACCGGUGGCGAAGGCGGGUCUCUGGGCCGUUACUGACGCUGAGGAGCGAAAGCAUGGGGAGCGAACAG